GACCCGGUAGCGGAUGGUCCGCGUCUGCGUCUGAUGGGUAUAUAAGCAGUCUGCAGCAGAAUACACCUGUUCGAUUCAGGUCUGGGUCA
Molecule: non-coding RNA, 89 nt
Organism: Mycena vulgaris
Lineage: Eukaryota; Fungi; Basidiomycota; Agaricomycetes; Agaricales; Mycenaceae
Source: the annotation of a GenBank genome assembly